AGGGCUGUGAUUCUCCUUUCAUCUGAUCCACAGGGGCAGAGAAGGGUGCCAGGGAGUGAGGGCGUGGCCUGGCUCUGGGGUCUUUGGGCCUGGUUUGAGGCUCCUCUGCCUCUCACAGGCCUUGUGACCCCGCUCAGUCCCUGCUGUGGGCGUGUGAGCAUGUAUGCAUAUCUGUAGACCCAGCUGGGCAGCGGGGCUCACGCCCCCCCAGGGAUUGGCCCCCAGCCCCAUCGGGUCGGUGCAGAGUGCCCUGACCGUGUUGCUGCCAUGUGUUUCAGGUGAGCCACCAGCUGGGCAGCAUCAUGGACCUCUUCACCACCAGCCUGGCCCUUGCGGGCCUGACGCCACCCAGCGACAGGGCCAUCGAUGGCCUCAACCUCCUCCCCACCCUCCUGCAGGGCCGGCUGAUGGACAGGCCUAUCUUCUAUUACCGUGGCGACACGCUGAUGGCGGCCACCCUCGGGCAGCACAAGGCUCACUUCUGGACCUGGACCAA
RNAcentral lists this small RNA (496 nucleotides) under Pan troglodytes (chimpanzee). Its description in RNAcentral is "retained intron". The record is from RNAcentral. Lineage: Eukaryota; Metazoa; Chordata; Mammalia; Primates; Hominidae.